This 552-nucleotide unclassified non-coding RNA is filed under the name Hevea brasiliensis (rubber tree). The record is from RNAcentral. Lineage: Eukaryota; Viridiplantae; Streptophyta; Magnoliopsida; Malpighiales; Euphorbiaceae.
GCAGAAUCUGAUGUGGAAGUGGGGGUCUCAGCUUACAGUAUCAUGCAAUCAAAACAACUUUCAGACAAAGUACCAACUAGGAGAUCUGUUUCAUUUGGCAGCUUAGUUCAAGAAGAUUAUGGGCCUAUGCUUACAGAUGAACAUUUGAAUUCUCCAAAUAGAGCUACUGUAUCAGUACAAAGAAGGUCGCCUGAGAAAUCCAUCUUUAGCUUGAUGAUUAAUAUGAUGGUCAAAUCACUUGCAUGGAUUUGCUUCUUGUUUCAUGGUGUGGGUAGGUUAUUUGUGAAGAAUAGUGAUGCAAACAGAUCGAGAAAUGGACGGGUAUCAGUGAAUGCAAGUUCAGUCGAGCAAAAUGUUUCUUCCCCAAAAAAGGAGGAUCUCCUCCAUCCAUGCUGUCAGAGGUUGCAACAUUUAGAGAACGUCGUAGCUGAUUUGUUGAAGAAACCUACCAAAAUUCCUCCAGAAAAAGAGCACAUGCUGCUUGAUUCAAUGGACCGCAUAAAGUUCAUAGAGUAUGACUUGCAGAGGACGAAGAAAGCACUACUUGCAACA